Molecule: ribosomal RNA, 605 nt
Filed under: uncultured bacterium
Lineage: Bacteria
Description: bacterial SSU rRNA
Rfam family: Bacterial small subunit ribosomal RNA (bases 1-518)
Source: RNAcentral
CCUACGGGAGGCAGCAGUGGGGAAUCUUGCGCAAUGGGCGAAAGCCUGACGCAGCAACGCCGCGUGCGGGAAGAAGGCCCUAGGGUUGUAAACCGCUUUCAGUAGGAACGAAAAUGACGGUACCUGCAGAAGAAGGUGCGGCCAACUACGUGCCAGCAGCCGCGGUGACACGUAGGCACCAAGCGUUGUCCGGAUUUAUUGGGCGUAAAGAGCUCGUAGGCGGUUCAGUAAGUCGGGUGUGAAAACUCUGGGCUUAACCCAGAGCCGCCACUCGAUACUGCUGUGACUUGAGUUCGGUAGGGGAGCAGGGAAUUCCUAGUGUAGCGGUGAAAUGCGGCAGAUAUUAGGAGGAACACCGGUGGCGAAGGCGCUGCUCUGGGCCGAUACUGACGCUGAGGAGCGAAAGCGUGGGUAGCAAACAGGAUUAGAUACCCUGGUAGUCCACGCCGUAAACGUUGGGCACUAGGUGUGGGUUCCAACCACGGAAUCCGCGCCGUCGCUAACGCAUAGUGCCCGCCGUCGGAGUACGGCGGCGACGACGAAACGUACGAAGAGAGUAGACGGCGUGAGACGUUAGUCCGAACGGACGACGACGAGGGAGGAGG